UCUAACACAUGCAAGUCGAACGAAGGCUUCGGCCUUAGUGGCGCACGGGUCAGUAACACCUGGGAACUUGCCUUUCGGUUCGGAAUAACUCGGGGAAACUGGAGCUAACACCGGAUACGCCCUUCGCCGGAAAGUUUACGCCGAGAGAUGGGCCCGCGCCGGAUUAGGUAGUUGGUGGAGUAAUGGCCUACCAAGCGGACGAUCCGUAGCUGGUCUGAGAGGAUGAUCAGCCACACUGGGACUGAGACACGGCCCAGACUCCUACGGGAGGCAGCAGUGGGGAAUAUUGGACAAUGGGCGCAAGCCUGAUCCAGCAAUGCCGCGUGAGUGAUGAAGGCCUUAGGGUUGUAAAGCUCUUUCGCACGCGACGAUGAUGACGGUAGCGUGAGAAGAAGCCCCGGCUAACUUCGUGCCAGCAGCCGCGGUAAUACGAAGGGGGCUAGCGUUGUUCGGAAUUACUGGGCGUAAAGGGCGCGUAGGCGGCCUGUUCAGUCAGGAGUGAAAGCCCGGGCUUAACCCGGGAACGGCUUUUGAUACUGGCAGGCUUGAGUUCCGGAGAGGAUGGUGGAAUUCCCAGUGUAGAGGUGAAAUUCGUAGAUAUUGGGAAGGAACACCGGUGGGGAAGGCGGCCAUCUGGACUCGCACUGACGCUGAGGCGCGAAAGCUCCGGGAGCAAACAGGAUUAGAUACCCUGGUAGUCCACGCCGUAAACGAUGAGUGCCAGACGCUGGGAUGCAUGCAUUUCGGAUGUCGUCGCUAACGCAAUUAAGCACUCCGCCUGGGGAGUACGGCCGCAAGGUUAAAACUCAAAGGAAUUGACGGGGGCCCGCACAAGCGUGGAGCAUGUGGUUUAAUUCGAAGCAACGCGCAGAACCUUACCAACCCUUGACAUGUCCGUCGCGGGUGGGAGAGAUCCCACUCUUCAGUUCGGCUGGACGGAACACAGGUGCUGCAUGGCUGUCGUCAGCUCGUGUCGUCCGUGA
RNAcentral lists this ribosomal RNA (983 nucleotides) under Azospirillum halopraeferens. Its description in RNAcentral is "bacterial SSU rRNA". It matches the Rfam family "Bacterial small subunit ribosomal RNA", at positions 47 to 1072 of the family's 1533-position model. The record is from RNAcentral. Lineage: Bacteria; Pseudomonadati; Pseudomonadota; Alphaproteobacteria; Rhodospirillales; Azospirillaceae.